GGGGUAUAGGUUUUCGGACCUAGAGACCGGCGCACGGGUGCGUAACGCGUAUGCAAUCUACCUUUUACAGAGGGAUAGCCCAGAGAAAUUUGGAUUAAUACCUCAUAGUAUUAUUGAAUGGCAUCAUUUAAUAAUUAAAGUCACAACGGUAAAAGAUGAGCAUGCGUCCCAUUAGCUAGUUGGUAAGGUAACGGCUUACCAAGGCAACGAUGGGUAGGGGUCCUGAGAGGGAGAUCCCCCACACUGGUACUGAGACACGGACCAGACUCCUACGGGAGACAGCAGUGAGGAAUAUUGGUCAAUGGGCGCAAGCCUGAACCAGCCAUGCCGCGUGCAGGAUGAAGCAUCUAUGGUGUGUAAACUGCUUUUGUACGAGAAGAAACACUCCUUCGUGAAGGAGCUUGACGGUAUCGUAAGAAUAAGGACCGGCUAACUCCGUGCCAGCAGCCGCGGUAAUACGGAGGGUCCAAGCGUUAUCCGGAAUCAUUGGGUUUAAAGGGUCCGUAGGCGGUUUUGUAAGUCAGUGGUGAAAGCCCAUCGCUCAACGGUGGAACGGCCAUUGAUACUGCAAGACUUGAAUUAUUAGGAAGUAACUAGAAUAUGUAGUGUAGCGGUGAAAUGCUUAGAUAUUACAUGGAAUACCAAUUGCGAAGGCAGGUUACUACUAGUGGAUUGACGCUGAUGGACGAAAGCGUGGGGAGCGAACAGGAUUAGAUACCCUGGUAGUCCACGCCGUAAACGAUGGAUACUAGCUGUUUUCGAGCAUCUGAGUGGCUAAGCGAAGU
Molecule: ribosomal RNA, 785 nt
Filed under: uncultured Bacteroidota bacterium
Lineage: Bacteria; Pseudomonadati; Bacteroidota
Description: bacterial SSU rRNA
Rfam family: Bacterial small subunit ribosomal RNA
Source: RNAcentral